RNAcentral lists this long non-coding RNA (220 nucleotides) under Panax ginseng (ginseng). RNAcentral describes it as "long non-coding RNA (PGIN_LNC014196)". Lineage: Eukaryota; Viridiplantae; Streptophyta; Magnoliopsida; Apiales; Araliaceae. The record is from RNAcentral.
UCUGCGUUGGUUUGUUGUUGAUUGGCCAUGUAUAGUGAUGUUGAACUCCCUUCCGAAGCGUCUUUAAUAAGUGGUUGGUCAAAAUCCAGAUUUGCGCCUUGGAAUGCUUGAGUUACUUGCCUUGGAACUGGAUCCGGUGAGGUAAUGCUAUUUGUUGGUGAAGUAGCUCUUCCUGUAGUUCUCCCACUUCGAGUUGUGGGCAUACCCUUCACGAAUUCUA